This 406-nucleotide ribosomal RNA is filed under the name uncultured Parabacteroides sp. Its description in RNAcentral is "bacterial SSU rRNA". It matches the Rfam family "Bacterial small subunit ribosomal RNA", at positions 355 to 758 of the family's 1533-position model. The record is from RNAcentral. Lineage: Bacteria; Pseudomonadati; Bacteroidota; Bacteroidia; Bacteroidales; Tannerellaceae.
UGAGGAAUAUUGGUCAAUGGGCGAGAGCCUGAACCAGCCAAGUCGCGUGAGGGAAGACGGUCCUACGGAUUGUAAACCUCUUUUGUCGGGGAACAAAAGGCGCCACGCGUGGUGUAUAGAGUGUACCCGAAGAAAAAGCAUCGGCUAACUCCGUGCCAGCAGCCGCGGUAAUACGGAGGAUGCGAGCGUUAUCCGGAUUUAUUGGGUUUAAAGGGUGCGUAGGUGGCUUGUUAAGUCAGCGGUGAAAGUCAGUGGCUCAACCAUUGAAUUGCCGUUGAAACUGGCGAGCUUGAGUACGUACGGGGCAGGCGGAAUGCGUGGUGUAGCGGUGAAAUGCAUAGAUAUCACGCAGAACCCCGAUCGCGAAGGCAGCCUGCCAGGCCGUGACUGACACUGAUGCACGAAA